AGUGAACGCUGGCGGUAGGCCUAACACAUGCGAGUCGAACGGCAGCACAGUAAGAGCUUGCUCUUACGGGUGGCGAGUGGCGGACGGGUGAGGAAUACAUCGGAAUCUACUUUUUCGUGGGGGAUAACGUAGGGAAACUUACGCUAAUACCGCAUACGACCUACGGGUGAAAGCAGGGGAUCUUCGGACCUUGCGCGAUUGAAUGAGCCGAUGUCGGAUUAGCUAGUUGGCGGGGUAAAGGCCCACCAAGGCGACGAUCCGUAGCUGGUCUGAGAGGAUGAUCAGCCACAUUGGAACUGAGACACGGUCCAGACUCCUACGGGAGGCAGCAGUGGGGAAUAUUGGACAAUGGGCGCAAGCCUGAUCCAGCCAUACCGCGUGGGUGAAGAAGGCCUUCGGGUUGUAAAGCCCUUUUGUUGGGAAAGAAAAGCAGCAGGUUAAUACCCCGCUGUUCUGACGGUACCCAAAGAAUAAGCACCGGCUAACUUCGUG
This 492-nucleotide ribosomal RNA is filed under the name uncultured bacterium. RNAcentral describes it as "partial 16S ribosomal RNA". It matches the Rfam family "Bacterial small subunit ribosomal RNA", at positions 29 to 507 of the family's 1533-position model. The record is from RNAcentral.